Molecule: ribosomal RNA, 449 nt
Filed under: uncultured bacterium
Lineage: Bacteria
Description: partial 16S ribosomal RNA
Rfam family: Bacterial small subunit ribosomal RNA
Source: RNAcentral
AGCGAACGCUGGCGGCAGGCUUAACACAUGCAAGUCGAGCGCCGUAGCAAUACGGAGCGGCAGACGGGUGAGUAACACGUGGGAACGUACCUUUUGGUUCGGAACAACACAGGGAAACUUGUGCUAAUACCGGAUAAGCCCUUACGGGGAAAGAUUUAUCGCCGAAAGAUCGGCCCGCGUCUGAUUAGCUUGUUGGUGAGGUAAUGGCUCACCAAGGCGACGAUCAGUAGCUGGUCUGAGAGGAUGAUCAGCCACACUGGGACUGAGACACGGCCCAGACUCCUACGGGAGGCAGCAGUGGGGAAUAUUGGACAAUGGGCGCAAGCCUGAUCCAGCCAUGCCGCGUGAGUGAUGAAGGCCCUAGGGUUGUAAAGCUCUUUUAACGGGGAAGAUAAUGACGGUACCCGUAGAAUAAGCCCCGGCUAACUUCGUGCCAGCCGCCGCGGUAA